AAUUAAAUAAAUCUCCGAGCAUUUCAACCUGUCAAAUUCAAUUUGUGGUUGCUGUGCCGAUAGGGUUUGAUUGGAAACAGUCAAGCCUCCUGAUGGAAAGGAGAAUAUCAUGUGCAAAA
Molecule: non-coding RNA, 119 nt
Filed under: Geosporobacter ferrireducens
Lineage: Bacteria; Bacillati; Bacillota; Clostridia; Peptostreptococcales; Thermotaleaceae
Description: MoCo sequence
Rfam family: Molybdenum/Tungsten riboswitch aptamer (Moco RNA motif)
Source: Rfam by way of RNAcentral